Molecule: ribosomal RNA, 253 nt
Filed under: uncultured prokaryote
Description: partial 16S ribosomal RNA
Rfam family: Bacterial small subunit ribosomal RNA
Source: RNAcentral
ACGGGGGGAGCAAACGUUGUUCGGAAUCACUGGGCGUAAAGCGCGUGUAGGCGGGCUGGAAAGUUGGGGGUGAAAUCCCGAGGCUCAACCUCGGAACUGCCUCCAAAACUUCCAGCCUGGAGCAAGAUAGAGACAAGUGGAAUUGCGAGUGUAGAGGUGAAAUUCGUAGAUAUUCGCAGGAACACCAGUGGCGAAGGCGACUUGCUGGAUCUUUGCUGACGCUGAGACGCGAAAGCGUGGGGAGCAAACAGGA